UAUCCUACGGGGGGCAGCAGUGGGGAAUAUUGCACAAUGGGGGAAACCCUGAUGCAGCGACGCCGCGUGAGCGAAGAAGUAUUUCGGUAUGUAAAGCUCUAUCAGCAGGGAAGAAAAUGACGGUACCUGAGUAAGAAGCUCCGGCUAAAUACGUGCCAGCAGCCGCGGUAAUACGUAUGGAGCAAGCGUUAUCCGGAAUUACUGGGUGUAAAGGGAGCGUAGACGGCUGUGCAAGUCUGGAGUGAAAGGCGGGGGCCCAACCCCCGGACUGCUCUGGCAACUGUAUGGCUGGAGUGCAGGAGAGG
RNAcentral lists this ribosomal RNA (305 nucleotides) under uncultured bacterium. Its description in RNAcentral is "bacterial SSU rRNA". It matches the Rfam family "Bacterial small subunit ribosomal RNA", at positions 335 to 657 of the family's 1533-position model. The record is from RNAcentral.